CUAUCUAUACUAUAAGGGACCAAUUAAAAUUAUACUAGGUCUACUCCCGACUUCUAUCCACACAGUCAUAACUUUUUCUAUAUACACUCCAAAACGUGUACCCAGAAAUGUAACACCGUUAAAAUCAAUGGCUAUUAGACCUUUCGUAGACGCUUCAACGUGAUCUGGUGGUCAGUGUUAUUUGGAUCAUCCUAUGCUUGCGUUGAAGCCUCCCUCGCGUUGAAGCCUCGAGAGUCAAGACCGCGCCUAUCCACCACGGUUCCCCGCUGCUGCUCGCCGUCCAUCUUCAGCCCGUGCGGCGGCCCAUCAGGCUGCCCAGAUGACUACAAGGUGGAGUAGCGUUCUGGGUCCGAGGCCGGCGGAGAUGGAGGCGGAGGCGAGGGCCAGAGCUGGGACCUGUAACACACGGCGACGAUGGCGAGGACAGGCCGUGGAGGAGGACAUGUGCCUUGGCAUGAUGUUUGUGGAGGAGAUGCUCAUGGAGCAGGAGGAGCAGGGCACCAGGGGGCCAUGUUCCGCAUCUCCAAGUUGCGAGGGGCGGCGCCGUGGGAGGUCACGCGGGGCCACCGCCGCUUCACGUUUGUUCUCCUCCACCUAUCACCCCUCCAGCCCUCAUCGAUCUUGUCUUGCUAGGCUUCUGUUCUUUCCCAAGAGCUAAUGACUUUCCCGUCUGUGCUUGGUGGCCAGAGUAUGGCCACCUGUCCGCGACCAAGGUGUUCAAUUUAUUGCCUAGCAGGUGGUACUUCUUGCCAGAGUGUGUUUCCUUCAUUUUUAUAGACUAUGUGUCAUUGUUUUGGCAGUGUUUCUUUGGGGACCGUUUCUUUUCUGAAUAGUGUCAAGCCCAGUAGCGAUCGUUUUCUUCGCUUGAAUACGUUCUUGCUGAAUGAGGUUGCUCAUCAGAAUUUGCUUCCUAUUGCACAUACGUAGUAGUCCUUUUAAGAGCAAGCUAAGUAGACAAAGCAAAUACACAAGUAAUAAAAUAACCCUUGAGUAGCCUUCAGGUUGGCUAAAUCUGUUCUUUGCUACUUUGAAUAGGAUAAACCGAAGAACCAUUAUAGACAUGGAUUAUGAAUGCGAUGUAAAAUUCAUCUUAUUGAAUCUUUCUGUUAGGCUGGUACCUGAUACCUGCUGGAUGCUAUUAUAGUAUCUUGGCAUCAACUAAUAUAUAAUUUUUUAUUUAAAUGUUCUUGUAGGAAUAUUAGAAGGAAUUAGUUAGAUGGUGGGUAAAUGUUAUUGCAGGCGAGACAAUUAGUUUGACAGUUUUUCUUUUGUUGCUUAUCAGACUGCACAAGAUAAUAUUGAUCUUCAGACGAACAUUCUUUCUAGAUUUGAUCUAAUCUUAAUCGUCAAAGAUAAAAUUCUUUCUACAACUUUUCUAUUCUAGCAGCUGAGAGACUAAGUGCAACUUCAAAAUACAGCGAAUAGCAAGCCACAUCAAGGUGCAUGCCCGUUGUGCUGCAACUUACACUGAGGCAAUCGAAAGAGAGAAUUGGCUGAAAAGGUCUGACCUGUGUGGUGCUUGUAUGUUGUAAAUUUGAUUUUAUUUCCUUGUCUUCUACUACAUAGCCUCUUUAGGUAAAGCCAAUUUUUUUGAUUUCCUGUAUAGCCUUUUUUAGAGUGCACCUUUGCGUUCUAAAAUGAAGAUUGAUUUCAGUGGCUUUUGAAAAACAAAAGAAUUUUGUAAAACCAAAGUAUUUCUCCAAUACUUAAAAAUGCUUUACAUCCAAACAGGGUUACAUGUAUUACUUUUCUGAAUAAUAUGGCUAUUGAUUUGACUUUUAAUUUGGACAAAAGAAAAAAUCAUAGAUCAAUUUGAUUUUUUAGUUGACAAGUAUACUUGGGAUUUGUUGUGGACACUUUAACUUAAUUCCUUGUUGGGUUGCUGGUAUUUGGUCAAAUGGAGCAUUUGGGGCUUCUAGCACUUUAACUUAAUUUCUUGAUAAGUCACAGAUAACUGGUCAUGGUUUCCAUCGUCACAUCAAAACAUUGAAGAAGGUUGGAGGCUUUUGUUGCCUAAUUCUGGCAAAAUGCAUAGUGUACCUUAUCUAUAUGAAUUUUAGGCAUUGUGAGAUUUUUCUUAUCACUUUUCUUGUCAGACUUAGCACUUGUAAUUCAGUGUACAACAAUAUGAUUUAUAUUUGACAAGAAAAUCUAUGUUUGGCAAUCUAA
Sorghum bicolor (sorghum) is the source of this 2169-nucleotide long non-coding RNA. RefSeq lists it as uncharacterized. The record is from RefSeq and is a predicted model, not a curated record. Lineage: Eukaryota; Viridiplantae; Streptophyta; Magnoliopsida; Poales; Poaceae. The transcript is spliced from 2 exons.